RNAcentral lists this ribosomal RNA (465 nucleotides) under uncultured bacterium. RNAcentral's name for it is "bacterial SSU rRNA". It matches the Rfam family "Bacterial small subunit ribosomal RNA", at positions 331 to 794 of the family's 1533-position model. The record is from RNAcentral.
CCAGACUCCUACGGGAGGCAGCAGUGAGGAAUAUUGGCCAAUGGGCGGGAGCCUGAACCAGCCAAGUCGCGUGAAGGAAGAAGGUACUUAGUAUUGUAAACUUCUUUUGUCGGGGAACAAAGGCGGAGACGCGUCUCCGGAUGAGUGUACCCGAAGAAAAAGCAUCGGCUAACUCCGUGCCAGCAGCCGCGGUAAUACGGAGGAUGCGAGCGUUAUCCGGAUUUAUUGGGUUUAAAGGGUGCGUAGGCGGGCUUUUAAGUCAGCGGUAAAAAUUCGGGGCUCAACCCCGUCCGGCCGUUGAAACUGGGGGCCUUGAGUGGGCGAGAAGAAGGCGGAAUGCGCGGUGUAGCGGUGAAAUGCAUAGAUAUCACGCAGAACCCCGAUUGCGAAGGCAGCCUUCCGGCGCCCUACUGACGCUGAGGCACGAAAGUGCGGGGAUCGAACAGGAUUAGAUACCCGAGUAAG